AACGAACGCUGGCGGCAUGCCUAACACAUGCAAGUCGAACGAGACCUUCGGGUCUAGUGGCGCACGGGUGCGUAACGCGUGGGAACCUGCCCUUAGGUUCGGAAUAACUCCCCGAAAGGGGUGCUAAUACCGGAUAAUGUCUUCGGACCAAAGAUUUAUCGCCUUUGGAUGGGCCCGCGUUGGAUUAGCUAGUUGGUAGGGUAAAAGCCUACCAAGGCGACGAUCCAUAGCUGGUCUGAGAGGAUGAUCAGCCACACUGGGACUGAGACACGGCCCAGACUCCUACGGGAGGCAGCAGUGGGGAAUAUUGGACAAUGGGCGAAAGCCUGAUCCAGCCAUGCCGCGGGAGUGAUGAAGGCCGUAGGGUUGUAAAGCUCUUUUACCCGGGAUGAUAAUGACAGUACCGGGAGAAUAAGCUCCGGCUAACUCCGUG
This 433-nucleotide ribosomal RNA is filed under the name uncultured bacterium. RNAcentral describes it as "partial 16S ribosomal RNA". It matches the Rfam family "Bacterial small subunit ribosomal RNA", at positions 29 to 507 of the family's 1533-position model. The record is from RNAcentral.